This 400-nucleotide ribosomal RNA is filed under the name uncultured bacterium. Its description in RNAcentral is "bacterial SSU rRNA". It matches the Rfam family "Bacterial small subunit ribosomal RNA", at positions 355 to 746 of the family's 1533-position model. The record is from RNAcentral.
UGGGGAAUAUUGCGCAAUGGGGGAAACCCUGACGCAGCAACGCCGCGUGAGUGAGGAAGGACUUCGGUCUGUAAAGCUCUGUUAAUGUGGAAAAAUGGUUAGUGGUCUAAUAGGCCAUUGAUUUGAUGGUACACAUAGAGGAAGCACCGGCUAACUUCGUGCCAGCAGCCGCGGUAAUACGAAGGGUGCAAGCGUUGUUCGGAUUUAUUGGGCGUAAAGCGCACGUAGGUGGACUUAUAAGUCAGAUGUGAAAUCUCGGGGCUCAACCUCGAAACUGCGUCUGAAACUGCAAGUCUAGAAUCUUGGAGGGGGCAGGGGAAUUUCACAUGUAGGGGUAAAAUCCGUAGAUAUGUGAAGGAACACCAGAGGCGAAGGCGCCUGCCUGGACAAGUAUUGACAC